This 497-nucleotide ribosomal RNA is filed under the name uncultured bacterium. Its description in RNAcentral is "partial 16S ribosomal RNA". It matches the Rfam family "Bacterial small subunit ribosomal RNA", at positions 28 to 507 of the family's 1533-position model. The record is from RNAcentral.
GAUGAACGCUGGCGGCGUGCCUAAUACAUGCAAGUCGAGCGAACGGACGAGAAGCUUGCUUCUCUGAUGUUAGCGGCGGACGGGUGAGUAACACGUGGCUAACCUACCUAUAAGACUGGGAUAACUUCGGGAAACCGGAGCUAAUACCGGAUAAUAUUUUGAACCGCAUGGUUCAAAAGUGAAAGACGGUCUUGCUGUCACUUAUAGAUGGAUCCGCGCUGCAUUAGCUAGUUGGUAAGGUAACGGCUUACCAAGGCAACGAUGCAUAGCCGACCUGAGAGGGUGAUCGGCCACACUGGAACUGAGACACGGUCCAGACUCCUACGGGAGGCAGCAGUAGGGAAUCUUCCGCAAUGGGCGAAAGCCUGACGGAGCAACGCCGCGUGAGUGAUGAAGGUCUUCGGAUCGUAAAACUCUGUUAGUAGGGAUGAACAGAUGUGUAAGUAACUGUGCACAUCUUGACGGUACCUAAUCAGAAAGCCACGGCUAACUACGUG